AUAGGAAUCAAGCUUUUAAGGGCACACAGUGGAUGCCUUGGUGCCAACAGGCGAUGAAGGACGCGAUAAGCUGCGAUAAGCUUC
This 84-nucleotide ribosomal RNA is filed under the name Cytophagaceae bacterium. RNAcentral's name for it is "partial 23S ribosomal RNA". It matches the Rfam family "Bacterial large subunit ribosomal RNA", at positions 1 to 79 of the family's 2925-position model. The record is from RNAcentral. Lineage: Bacteria; Pseudomonadati; Bacteroidota; Cytophagia; Cytophagales; Cytophagaceae.